Molecule: long non-coding RNA, 344 nt
Filed under: Salmo salar (Atlantic salmon)
Lineage: Eukaryota; Metazoa; Chordata; Actinopteri; Salmoniformes; Salmonidae
Description: lncRNA (ENSSSAG00000102225.1)
Source: RNAcentral
AGAGGCAGAAACAGGGAAGGACAGAGACAGAAACAGGGAAGGACAGAGACAGAAACAGGGAAAGACAGAGACAGAAACAGGGAAGGACAGAGACAGAAACAGGGGAGAGCAGAGACAGAAACAGGGGAGGACAGAGACAGAAACAGGGGAGAACAGAGGCAGAAACAGGGAAGGACAGAGACCGAAACAGGGGAGGACAGAGACAGAAACAGGGGAGGACGGAGGCAGAAACAGGGGAGGACAGAGGCAGAAACAGGGAAGGACAGAGACAGAAACAGGGAAGACAGAGGCAGAAACAGGGAAGGACAGAGACAGAAACAGGGAAGGACAGAGACAGAAACAGG